RNAcentral lists this ribosomal RNA (789 nucleotides) under uncultured bacterium. Its description in RNAcentral is "bacterial SSU rRNA". It matches the Rfam family "Bacterial small subunit ribosomal RNA", at positions 61 to 854 of the family's 1533-position model. The record is from RNAcentral.
UCCGAACGANGGUCCAUGGAGCUUGCUCCGGAAGACCUAGUGGCGAACGGGUGCGUAACACGUGAGAAAUCUGCCCCGGACUCUGGAGUAACAGUUGGAAACGACUGCUAAUACCGGAUGCCUUCAUUUGGCCGCAUGGUCGUUUGAAGAAAGAUUUAUCGGUUUGGGAGGAUCUCGCGGCCUAUCAGCUUGUUGGAGAGGUAACGGCUCACCAAGGCAUCGACGGGUAGCUGGUCUGAGAGGAUGAUCAGCCACACUGGAACUGAGACACGGUCCAGACUCCUACGGGGGGCAGCAGUGGGGAAUCUUGCACAAUGGGCGAAAGCCUGAUGCAGCGAUGCCGCGUGCGGGAAGAAGGCCCUAGGGUUGUAAACCGCUUUCGGGAGGGAAGAAAAUGACGGUACCUCCAGAAGAAGGUGCGGCCAACUACGUGCCAGCAGCCGCGGUGACACGUAGGCACCAAGCGUUAUCCGGAUUUAUUGGGCGUAAAGAGCUCGUAGGCGGUUAGGUAAGUCGGGUGUGAAAACUCUGGGCUCAACCCAGAGAGGCCACUCGAUACUGCUAUGACUAGAGUACGGUAGGGGGAGCGGGGGAAUUCCUGGUGUAGCGGUGAAAUGCGCAGAUAUCAGGAGGAACACCAAGCGGGCGAAGGCGCCGCUCUGGGCCGUAACUGACGCUGAAGAGCGAAAGCAUGGGUAGCAAACAGGAUUAGAUACCCUGGGUAGUCCAUGCCGUAAACGUUGGGGCACUAGGUGUGGGUCUCAACCAACGAGAUCCGCGCCGUCGCUA